Long non-coding RNA from Piliocolobus tephrosceles (Ugandan red Colobus), 2602 nucleotides. The record is from Ensembl. NCBI's taxonomy places the organism in Eukaryota, Metazoa, Chordata, Mammalia, Primates, Cercopithecidae.
UGCGUUUCAAACAAAAGAAAGGCAAGAAUGCAUAAUGAAUAGGAAUAAAAGAUAUAAUUGUAUCGUAAAAAAAAAAAAAAUGGAGGAUAAAAAUAAGAAUAAAGGCAGUAUCAAAAUGGGUAAUACUAAAAGAGCUACCAGAAAGACUAUCAAAAAGCGUUCGCCAAAUUGUAAUAACUGCAACAACGAAUGUGCUCAAAAAAAAACCAAAACAGUAUUUAAAAAAAAUAAAUCAUUUGCAUUUACAAAUUUGUAUGAAUCGAAGGCCACCAAUAAAAAAAUGCUAUUCAAAUAUAAAAAAUAUAUGAAUUAUUGUUACUAUAUGAAAAACAUUUUGAAUAAAAAAGAUUUUAUAAAAAACAAAUUAAACAAGUUUCGUUUAAUAUAUGAAUUAGAGAAUAAAACUAAUAGUAUACCAUAUAAAAAAAAAGAAUGGGUUAAAGCAAAUAAUAUAAUGAUAAACCAAUUUCAGCAGAACGUAUGUAUCUAUAUACAAAACAAAUUAUUUGCAUAUUUUAAAAAAAAUAUUGUUAACUACUUUUUUAUAUUAUCAAAUGAAAAUCUAGCUAGAUGUAUAAUAAAUUAUUUUCCAACACAUAUAUAUAAUUGUACAUAUACAAAUAUAAAUUAUUAUUAUGAUAAAUGUGUGAAAAAUAUAUAUCAUUUUGAAUUUAUAGCAUUGGUUGAGUUAUUAAAAAUAUUUAUAUUAAAUUUUGGAGAUAGUUUUGAAUUAUAUGAACAACUUAUUAAACCAUUAUUUUUGCAAAAAAUUUAUAAUAUAAAUAAAGCUUUGAUAUAUAUAAAAAAAAGAAACUAUUUAGUUGAUACUUCUUAUUUACUUUCGAAAUAUAUUUCAAAUGAUUUAAUAUGCAACAAUAUAUAUGCUAAUUUAGUUUAUAAAGCUAUGUUUUAUAAAAAAAAAUUGUCAUACUUCACGAAAAAAUAUCUUUUUAAUAAUGUCCUAGAUAUCGUUUAUUUAUAUGGAGUUCAAUGCGCAGAAUCUAAAAUAAUACAAGCAAGAAACAUUGAAUGUACAUUUAAAAAAUCAAUUAAUGCAAAUUAUGAUAUACGAAAACUGUCAAACCAUAUUGAUAUAUUAUAUAAUGAACAGCAACACGUGGAAAAUUUAUAUUAUUACGAUAGUACUGAUAAAUGUGCUGGUUACUAUCAUGUUGAUUUAGAACAUAAUAAUGAUUACAACUAUAACAGAAAUAAUAAGAACAACUACAUGUUUAACGAUGAAUAUAUAAAUAAUAAUGAAGAUUAUUUAAGUAACUAUACAUGCAUGCAAAACUGUAAAAAUUCUAUAAUAUAUAACAAACAGAUGGAAGAAGAACAGCAUAAUAGUGGUGAUUGUCAUAUUAAUAAUAGUAACAAUAACAUAUUAAACAAUUGUAAUGAUGGUAUGAGUGACUGCUCUAAUAAGGAAUGCAAAAUUUUUUAUUUUAACAAAAAAUUAACGAUUUUUGAGCUGAACUAUUAUAUUAAUAAUUUUUUAAGAGGAAACAUCAACUUGUAUGCAUGUAACAAUUAUGUGUUAACUGAUACGAGUACAAGUAGUACUACUAAUAUGGACAGCAUUGAUAUUGAUAGUCUGACUAGUAGAACUAGUAGUGAUCAUACAAAUAGCAAUGAUAAAACAUGUAUUAACAAUAGUAGUAAAAAUAAAUAUACUGAAGAUUAUCAACAAAAUUCACGAAUCGGAAAAUCAAACAACAAUAUCACGUAUACUAGGUUAAAAAAAAAAAAAAAAAAAAAAANNNNNNNNNNNNNNNNNNNNNNNNNNNNNNNNNNNNNNNNNNNNNNNNNNNNNNNNNNNNNNNNNNNNNNNNNNNNNNNNNNNNNNNNNNNNNNNNNNNNAAAAAAAAAAAAAAAAAAAAAAAAAAAAAAAAAAAAAAAAAAAAAAUCAAAUAUAGUACCAAUAGAAUCAAUAAAAAAUGUAUACCAAAAUAGAAACGAAUCUAUAAACUAUAGUUCAUCAACAUUAUCAAGUACAAACGAUUCAGAUGUAUAUAAUGAUAAUCUUUCUGACGAUUAUGAAAUAAUCAAAUUAUUAGAAAACACGAAUAAAGAUAAAAAAAAAUUAUUAGGAGGCAUAAAUCAACAUAUAAAGUGUUUAACUAAACAUGUAAGCGAAUAUGUACCUAAUUAUUAUAUUUUAAAUAGUUGUGGAAAAACAAAAAUGUCGAAAAUACUUUCUAACAUUUUUUUAGAAGAUCAGAAAGAACAAAUAGGAGGUGAUAAUGAUUAUUUAUUUUUGCAACAGUUACAUUAUGGUACAAAUGAUAUGCAUAAUUGUUAUUUUAAUUAUCUAAAAAAAUAUUGUUUAUAUAUUUAUAAAAAUCAUUCAUUUAAAUGUGAUAAAAAUAAUAAAACCAUAGCACAAAACUUGGGUUUGUUGAAUAUACAAAAUACGAAUAUUAAUUUUGCAUACAUUUUUAAUAAAUAUGUACAAGCAAAUAAUAAUGGAAAUAAUAAUAAUAAUAGUAAACCUAAUUCACUUAUUUAUAAAAAAAAUAAAUUAUUAAUAUUUAACAUAAGUAAAAAAACAUUUAUUGAUUUUGAAAUAUACCCGCAAAAUAUACAUUUAUAUAACAUUGCU